GGUGAGAGUGGCGAACGGGUGAGUAACACGUAGGUGAUCUACCCCUGGGGAUGGGGAUAGCCCAUGGAAACAUGGGAUAAUACCUGAUAAGCCCCAUACUUAGCUGUAUGGGGGAAAGGUGCGUAUGCACCGACCUGGGAUGAGCCUGCGGCCCAUUAGCUAGUUGGUGGGGUAAGGGCCUACCAAGGCGACGAUGGGUAGCCGGCCUGAGAGGGUGAACGGCCACACUGGGACUGAGACACGGCCCAGACUCCUACGGGAGGCAGCAGCUAAGAAUCUUCCGCAAUGGGGGAAACCCUGACGGAGCGACGCCGCGUGGACGAAGAAGGCGGAAACGUUGUAAAGUCCUUUUCUUGGUGAAGAAUAAGGGUGCGAGGAAAUGCGCAUCUGAUGACGUUAGCCAAGGAAUAAGCCCCGGCCAAUUACGUGCCAGCAGCCGCGGUAACACGUAAGGGGCGAGCGUUGUUCGGAUUUAUUGGGCGUAAAGGGCGUGUAGGCGGUUCUGCAAGCCUGGUGUGAAAUAUCCCGGCUUAACCGGGGAGAUGCGCUGGGAACUGCAGGACUUGAGUUCUGGAGGGGAAGCUGGAAUUCCAGGUGUAGGGGUGAAAUCUGUAGAUAUCUGGAAGAACACCGGUGGCGAAGGCGAGCUUCUGGCCAGAAACUGACGCUGAGGCGCGAAAGCGUGGGGAGCGAACAGGA
Molecule: ribosomal RNA, 699 nt
Filed under: uncultured organism
Description: bacterial SSU rRNA
Rfam family: Bacterial small subunit ribosomal RNA
Source: RNAcentral